RNAcentral lists this ribosomal RNA (460 nucleotides) under uncultured bacterium. Its description in RNAcentral is "partial 16S ribosomal RNA". It matches the Rfam family "Bacterial small subunit ribosomal RNA", at positions 338 to 795 of the family's 1533-position model. The record is from RNAcentral.
CCUACGGGCGGCAGCAGUGAGGAAUAUUGGUCAAUGGGCUUACGCCUGAACCAGCCAAGUCGCGUGAGGGAAGACUGUCCUAUGGGUUGUAAACCUCUUUUGUCAGGGAGCAACGUCGGCUUCGUGUACCCGGACUGAGAGUCCCUGAAGAAAAAGCAUCGGCUACCUCCGUGCCAGCAGCCGCGGUAAUACGGAGGAUGCGAGCGUUAUCCGGAUUUAUUGGGUUUAAAGGGUGCGUAGGCGGAAUGCCAAGUCAGCGGUAAAAUCGCGGGGCUCAACCUCGCUCAGCCGUUGAAACUGGCGGUCUUGAGUGGGCGAGAGGUAUGCGGAAUGCGUGGUGUAGCGGUGAAAUGCAUAGAUAUCGCGCAGAACUCCGAUUGCGAAGGCAGCAUACCGGCGCCCAACUGACGCUGAGGCACGAAAGCGUGGGUAUCGAACAGGAUUAGAUACCCUUGUAGUC